GUUUGUGUAUUUGGUGUGUUGCCGUCUGGAAGUGGUUUGUCAUCAGCUUCUCUCUUUUAUUGUAUGAGGUGGCAUCCGCAGAAGUUGCAGUCUUUAAUGUGACUAGUAAGAAUGGAUCCUAUUUUUGUGGAAAUCGGCACCAUGAUGGAGAAACCCGUUAAGGUUAUCUCUGAGUGCUUCAGUUUCCUCCCUUAGUCCAAAGACAUGCAGGUAGGCUAAUUGGUGCAGCUAAAUUGCCUGUAGGGUGUAAGUACCCCAGGUCAAAAUGACAUCCUCUCCAGCUUUGACCCCCUACCCCCCGUAACCCUGACAGUGAUUGGAAGAUAGGUGUGUGUGUGUUUUUUUUUUUU
Molecule: long non-coding RNA, 350 nt
Organism: Brienomyrus brachyistius
Lineage: Eukaryota; Metazoa; Chordata; Actinopteri; Osteoglossiformes; Mormyridae
Exons: 3
Source: RefSeq, a predicted model, not a curated record